UCGAGGAUCUUCCGCAAUGGGCGAAAGCCUGACGGAGCGACACCGCGUGCAGGAUGAAGGCCUUCGGGUUGUAAACUGCUGUCACGCACUAGGAAUCCCCUGCGGUGAAUAGCCGCAGGGUUGACUAAAGCGAGAGGAAGCACCGGCUAACUCUGUGCCAGCAGCCGCGGUAAGACAGAGGGUGCAAACGUUGUUCGGAAUCACUGGGCAUAAAGCGCACGUAGGCCGUCCACUAAGUCGAAUGUGAAAUACCCCGGCUCAACCGGGGAACUGCAUCCGAUACUGGUGGACUCGAGGAUGGUUGGGGUGAGUGGAACUCCAGGUGGAGCGGUGAAAUGCGUAGAUAUCUGGAGGAACACCGGUGGCGAAAGCGGCUCACUGGACCAUCUCUGACGCUGAGGUGCGAAAGCUAGGGGAGCAAACGGGAUUAGAUACCCCGGUAGUCCCUGAGCGGGCUGGCAAGGCGCAU
RNAcentral lists this ribosomal RNA (469 nucleotides) under uncultured bacterium. RNAcentral's name for it is "bacterial SSU rRNA". It matches the Rfam family "Bacterial small subunit ribosomal RNA", at positions 355 to 825 of the family's 1533-position model. The record is from RNAcentral.